Molecule: ribosomal RNA, 322 nt
Filed under: uncultured eukaryote
Lineage: Eukaryota
Description: partial 18S ribosomal RNA
Rfam family: Eukaryotic small subunit ribosomal RNA
Source: RNAcentral
CCCUUAGAUGUUCUGGGCCGCACGCGUGCUACACUGAGUGGAUCAGCGGGUCAGGUUGCGCGAAAGCGUUUCCUAAUCUUUAAAUCCGCUCGUGAUGGGGAUUGACGGUUGCAAUUUUCUGUCAUGAACGAGGAAUACCUUGUAAGCGCGGGUCAUCAUCCCGCGCUGAAUACGUCCCUGCCCUUUGUACACACCGCCCGUCGCUACUACCGAUUGAAUGGCUUAGUGAGCCUUUGGGAUUGGCAGCUUGUACCGGCAACGGUAGCAGGCCGCUGAAAACUUAGGCAAACUUGGUCAUUUAGAGGAAGUAAAAGUCGUAACA